Molecule: ribosomal RNA, 254 nt
Filed under: uncultured bacterium
Lineage: Bacteria
Description: partial 16S ribosomal RNA
Rfam family: Bacterial small subunit ribosomal RNA
Source: RNAcentral
UACGGGGGGAGCAAGCGUUGUUCGGAUUUACUGGGCGUAAAGGGCGCGUAGGCGGCCACGACAAGUCACUUGUGAAAUCUCCGGGCUUAACUCGGAACGGUCAAGUGAUACUGUCGGGCUAGAGUGCAGAAGGGGCAACUGGAAUUCUCGGUGUAGCGGUGAAAUGCGUAGAUAUCGGGAGGAACACCCGUAGCGAAGGCGGCCGACUGGACCACACCUGACGCUGAGGCGCGAAGGCCAGGGGAGCGAACGGG